Molecule: non-coding RNA, 72 nt
Organism: Phrynosoma platyrhinos (Desert horned lizard)
Lineage: Eukaryota; Metazoa; Chordata; Lepidosauria; Squamata; Phrynosomatidae
Source: the annotation of a GenBank genome assembly
AGGACUGUGGCACAGUGGUAGAGCCUCUGCCUUGCAAACAUAAGACCACAGGUUCAGUCCCUGGCAUCUCUG